CCGGAGAAUGUUAUCACGGGAGACACACGGCGGGUGCUAACGUCCGUCGUGAAGAGGGAAACAACCCAGACCGCCAGCUAAGGUCCCAAAGUCAUGGUUAAGUGGGAAACGAUGUGGGAAGGCCCAGACAGCCAGGAUGUUGGCUUAGAAGCAGCCAUCAUUUAAAGAAAGCGUAAUAGCUCACUGGUCGAGUCGGCCUGCGCGGAAGAUGUAACGGGGCUAAACCAUGCACCGAAGCUGCGGCAGCGAACGUAUCACCCAAGACAACUUUACGGAGUUGACGAUUGACGGAGCGAAGCGACGUCAAAGCGUUCAUUAAAGUCGAGUUGGCUUAGGGAUACGUUCGUUGGGUAGGGGAGCGUUCUGUAAGCCUGUGAAGGUGUGUCGUGAGGCAUGCUGGAGGUAUCAGAAGUGCGAAUGCUGACAUAAGUAACGAUAAAGCGGGUGAAAAGCCCGCUCGCCGGAAGACCAAGGGUUCCUGUCCAACGUUAAUCGGGGCAGGGUGAGUCGACCCCUAAGGCGAGGCCGAAAGGCGUAGUCGAUGGGAAACGGGUUAAUAUUCCCGUACUUGGUGUUACUGCGAAGGGGGGACGGAGAAGGCUAUGUUGGCCGGGCGACGGUUGUCCCGGUUUAAGCGUGUAGGUGUGUGUUCCAGGUAAAUCCGGUUCACUUUAACACUGAGGCGUGACGACGAGGCACUACGGUGCUGAAGCAACAAAUGCCCUGCUUCCAGGAAAAGCCUCUAAGCAUCAGGUAACACGAAAUCGUACCCCAAACCGACACAGGUGGUCAGGUAGAGAAUACCAAGGCGCUUGAGAGAACUCGGGUGAAGGAACUAGGCAAAAUGGUGCCGUAACUUCGGGAGAAGGCACGCUGACACGUAGGUGAAGUGAUUUACUCAUGGAGCUGAAGUCAGUCGAAGAUACCAGCUGGCUGCAACUGUUUAUUAAAAACACAGCACUGUGCAAACACGAAAGUGGACGUAUACGGUGUGACGCCUGCCCGGUGCCGGAAGGUUAAUUGAUGGGGUCAGCGCAAGCGAAGCUCCUGAUCGAAGCCCCGGUAAACGGCGGCCGUAACUAUAACGGUCCUAAGGUAGCGAAAUUCCUUGUCGGGUAAGUUCCGACCUGCACGAAUGGCGUAAUGAUGGCCAGGCUGUCUCCACCCGAGACUCAGUGAAAUUGAACUCGCUGUGAAGAUGCAGUGUACCCGCGGCAAGACGGAAAGACCCCGUGAACCUUUACUAUAGCUUGACACUGAACAUUGAGCCUUGAUGUGUAGGAUAGGUGGGAGGCUUUGAAGUGUGGACGCCAGUCUGCAUGGAGCCGACCUUGAAAUACCACCCUUUAAUGUUUGAUGUUCUAACGUGGACCCGUAAUCCGGGUUGCGGACAGUGUCUGGUGGGUAGUUUGACUGGGGCGGUCUCCUCCUAAAGAGUAACGGAGGAGCACGAAGGUUGGCUAAUCCUGGUCGGACAUCAGGAGGUUAGUGCAAUGGCAUAAGCCAGCUUGACUGCGAGCGUGACGGCGCGAGCAGGUGCGAAAGCAGGUCAUAGUGAUCCGGUGGUUCUGAAUGGAAGGGCCAUCGCUCAACGGAUAAAAGGUACUCCGGGGAUAACAGGCUGAUACCGCCCAAGAGUUCAUAUCGACGGCGGUGUUUGGCACCUCGAUGUCGGCUCAUCACAUCCUGGGGCUGAAGUAGGUCCCAAGGGUAUGGCUGUUCGCCAUUUAAAGUGGUACGCGAGCUGGGUUUAGAACGUCGUGAGACAGUUCGGUCCCUAUCUGCCGUGGGCGCUGGAGAACUGAGGGGGGCUGCUCCUAGUACGAGAGGACCGGAGUGGACGCAUCACUGGUGUUCGGGUUGUCAUGCCAAUGGCACUGCCCGGUAGCUAAAUGCGGAAGAGAUAAGUGCUGAAAGCAUCUAAGCACGAAACUUGCCCCGAGAUGAGUUCUCCCUGAGACUUUAGGUCUCCUGAAGGAACGUUGAAGACGACGACGUUGAUAGGCCGGGUGUGUAAGCGCAGCGAUGCGUUGAGCUAACCGGUACUAAUGAACCGUGAGGCUUAACCUU
RNAcentral lists this ribosomal RNA (2070 nucleotides) under Salmonella enterica. RNAcentral's name for it is "partial 23S ribosomal RNA". It matches the Rfam family "Bacterial large subunit ribosomal RNA", at positions 962 to 2925 of the family's 2925-position model. Lineage: Bacteria; Pseudomonadati; Pseudomonadota; Gammaproteobacteria; Enterobacterales; Enterobacteriaceae. The record is from RNAcentral. RNAcentral also lists the same sequence under 1 other name.